RNAcentral lists this long non-coding RNA (1289 nucleotides) under Pan troglodytes (chimpanzee). RNAcentral describes it as "long non-coding RNA NONPTRT006836". Lineage: Eukaryota; Metazoa; Chordata; Mammalia; Primates; Hominidae. The record is from RNAcentral.
CUUGUUUCUGCCCUUGGAACCUCUUAGAAGGUGCCAUCCCUCUUAAGAGUCCAUGUGGUCCCAGCUUCCAAAGCACCACAUAAUUUAGCUCUUUUCUUUUUUUUUUUUUUUUUUUUGAGACACAUAAUUUAGCUUUUUUCUUUUUUUUUUUCACUCUUGUUGCUCAGGCUGGAAUGCAAUGGCUCCAUCUCGGCUCACCACAACCUCUGCCUCCUGGGUUCAAGUGAUUCUCCUGCCUCAGCCUUUCUGAGUAGCUGGGAUUACAAGCAUGUGCCACCAUGCCCGGAUAAUUUUUAGUAGAGACGAGGUUUCUCCAUGUUGGUCAGGCUGGUUUCAAACUCCCGACCUCGGGUGAUCCGCCUUCCUCGGCCUCCCAAAGUGCUGGGAUUACAGGCAUGAGCCACCGUACCCGGCCUAAUUUAGCUCUUUCCAUCUGCUUGAUUUAGCCAAGGCCACUUUCCUGUAACUUUCCACAGGGCCAGUCCCCUUCAUUUGACCUGAUAACAAGAACUCGUGACUUUAACUGGACAAAUGAGGGAGCCAACUGACUUGAGGUGUACAACAGAACAGUCAUGAGGAAGGGACCUCUAUCCACAGUCCUGUGAGCAAAGGAAGCAACAGACAGCAAAGGAAGCAACAGACAGCUGCCAGCACAAAGUCUCAACACACUGCCUCCAGGAAGUAAGACUGCAGGAUGGCGGGAAGCAGAUGUAGUAUGGGUGAGCCCAGCCCCCCUCACCAUCUGUGGACCCCAGGCAAUGCAGUCAACCUUCAUUCAUCCUUUAUUGAAAAGGCGGGGAGGGGCUAUCAAGUCCUUUGCUGAAUUUUAGUGAGAAUUAAUUCAGAUACAUACCAAAUGCCUCACACAUGCGUGGCUUGAGCUAAGUGUUAUACACAGCUAUUAUUUUUAAUUAUAUUACACAUAAACUCCCUGAGGCCGGUGACAGUGCUUUGCAAUAAUAACUAAUCAACAACAGUCAAUGCAGUAAGUGAAGAGUAGAAUUCCAGCAUACUAAAGGGUUAGGAUCUAGGGAUGAGAGCCCCAACCACCUCUAUCAGAAACAGAGCUGCUGGGCCAGGUGUAGUGGCUCCCACCUGUAAUCCCAGCACUUUGGGAGGCCGAGGCAGGCGGAUCACUUGAGGUUAGGAGUUUGAGACCAGCCUGGGAGACAUGGUGAAACCCUAUCUCUACUAAAAAUACAAAAAUUAGCUGGGUGUGGUGGUGUGUGCCUGUACUCCCAGCUACUCGGGAGGCUGAGGCAGGAAAAUUGCUUGAACCCAGGAGGCAG